GUUGUGGCUCAGUGGUAGAGUGUUUAUCUAGCAUGUGUGAGGCACUGGGUUCAAUCCUCAGCACAAUA
This 68-nucleotide transfer RNA is filed under the name Marmota monax (woodchuck). RNAcentral's name for it is "tRNA.Ala". Lineage: Eukaryota; Metazoa; Chordata; Mammalia; Rodentia; Sciuridae. The record is from RNAcentral.